CAAUAGCGUAUAUUUAAGUUGUUGCAGUUAAAAAGCUCGUAGUUGGAUUUCGGGUGGGACGCAGCGGUCUCGCAUUGCGUUUGUACUGCUGCAGCCCUCCUUCUUGCCGGGGGCGGCCUCUCGGACUUCACUGUCUGGGGGUCAGAAUCGGCGAUGUUACUUUGAGUAAAUUAGAGUGUUCAAAGCAAGCUUACGCUCUGAAUAUAAUAGCAUGGGAUAACACGACAGGACUCUGGCCUAUCGUGUUGGUCUAUAGGACCAGAGUAAUGAUUAAGAGGGAUAGUCGGGGGCAUUCGUAUUCCGUUGUCAGAGGUGAAAUUCUUGGAUUUACGGAAGACGAACAUCUGCGAAAGCAUUUGCCAAGGAUGUUUUCAUUG
This 377-nucleotide ribosomal RNA is filed under the name uncultured eukaryote. Its description in RNAcentral is "partial 18S ribosomal RNA". It matches the Rfam family "Eukaryotic small subunit ribosomal RNA", at positions 592 to 975 of the family's 1831-position model. The record is from RNAcentral.